UAAUGCUUAGGAAUCUGCCUAUUAGUGGGGGACAACAUUCCGAAAGGAAUGCUAAUACCGCAUACGCCCUACGKGGGAAAGCAGGGGAUCUUCGGACCUUGCGCUAAUAGAUGAGCCUAAGUCAGAUUAGCUAGUUGGUGGGGUAAAGGCCUACCAAGGCGACGAUCUGUAGCGGGUCUGAGAGGAUGAUCCGCCACACUGGGACUGAGACACGGCCCAGACUCCUACGGGAGGCAGCAGUGGGGAAUAUUGGACAAUGGGCGAAAGCCUGAUCCAGCCAUGCCGCGUGUGURAAGAAGGCCUUUUGGUUGUAAAGCACUUUAAGCGAGGAGGAGGCUACUUAGAUUAAUACUCUAGGAUAGUGGACGUUACUCGCAGAAUAAKCACCGGCUAACUCUGUGCCAGCAGCCGCGGUAAUACAGAGGGUGCGAGCGUUAAUCGGAUUUACUGGGSGUAAAGCGUGCGUAGGCGGCUUUUUAAGUCGGAUGUGAAAUCCCUGAGCU
This 503-nucleotide ribosomal RNA is filed under the name Acinetobacter johnsonii. Its description in RNAcentral is "bacterial SSU rRNA". The record is from RNAcentral. Lineage: Bacteria; Pseudomonadati; Pseudomonadota; Gammaproteobacteria; Moraxellales; Moraxellaceae.